UUAGAUCAUGUGAGUGGGUAGGCAGAAACUUGAGGCCAUUAAUCCUCAUAGUAGGACCGAGGGACAGGAGCGGUAGAUCUAUCUGGGUGUACAUAUGGAGUACCCUAUCAUGUGAGUGGGUAGGCGGAAACUUGAGGCCAUUAAUCCUCAUAGUAGGACCGAGGGACAGGAGCGGUAGAUCUAUCUGGGUGUAGCGAGCCCAGCCCCAGGUCCAGCUGAACGGACCUCGGGGUGACUUAGUGCCCGACGCAUAAAUCCGCUAGGUUU
RNAcentral lists this long non-coding RNA (267 nucleotides) under Helianthus annuus (common sunflower). RNAcentral's name for it is "hypothetical non coding rna". The record is from RNAcentral. Lineage: Eukaryota; Viridiplantae; Streptophyta; Magnoliopsida; Asterales; Asteraceae.